RNAcentral lists this ribosomal RNA (465 nucleotides) under uncultured bacterium. RNAcentral describes it as "partial 16S ribosomal RNA". It matches the Rfam family "Bacterial small subunit ribosomal RNA", at positions 28 to 507 of the family's 1533-position model. The record is from RNAcentral.
GACGAACGCUGGCGGCGUGCUUAACACAUGCAAGUCGAACGGAAAGGCCCUGCUUGCAGGGUACUCGAGUGGCGAACGGGUGAGUAACACGUGGGUGAUCUGCCCUGCACUUCGGGAUAAGCCUGGGAAACUGGGUCUAAUACCGGAUAGGAGCCAUUUUUAGUGUGAUGGUUGGAAAGUUUUUUCGGUGUAGGAUGAGCUCGCGGCCUAUCAGCUUGUUGGUGGGGUAAUGGCCUACCAAGGCGGCGACGGGUAGCCGGCCUGAGAGGGUGGACGGCCACAUUGGGACUGAGAUACGGCCCAGACUCCUACGGGAGGCAGCAGUGGGGAAGAUUGCACAAUGGGCGCAAGCCUGAUGCAGCGACGCCGCGUGGGGGAGGACGGCCUUCGGGUUGUAAACUCCUUUCGCUAGGGACGAAGCUUUUUGUGACGGUACCUAGAGAAGAAGCACCGGCUAACUACGUG